GAUCUGAGCAAGAAACGCAGAGAUGCUCAAGGAGUUCACAAUAGGAUAGAAAAUGUUCAACAAGUUCGCCGGUUAUAUUUACAAAGGACAAAGAGAGGUGUUUAAGGGACUUGAUGCAGGAAAUACCAAAAGGGCUUCUAAAUGGCUUAUCUGGAAAGGUAUAACUGGGAGAAGAAAAACGAGACCGUCUGCCUGCUUCCAAAUCUAUCUCAAGGCCUUGAACUCUCCUCCACAUUGCAAAUUCAAUCCAAUUGUCGAUUUCAGAACUACUAGGACUGGAAUCGGGUGAGGAAGAAUGAAUUUGGAAUUCAUCUAAGGAUAGACCCUGGUGCAAUUGCAAGACUUGAUUCACCCAAUUGUAACUAGAUGUUGUUUUCACUCGUUUUCUUUUCUUCUGCAGUUUGGAUAAUGCAUCUAUAUCAUCGAAGUUGAGACACGUAAUCUGUUUCCACAGAGAGACCCACCUCUUCGAGAGGACACAAGUCCUUGCUGCUUCCCUAAUACCCAAUAGGGAAAGAAUGCUAAUUAGAAUGGCAUCUGGUAGCUGACUGAUCUGAUCGUCCUCUGAAUAAUUCUCUUCCUUAUCACCCAAAUUGAUUGGAAUCUUUUGUUGUUUCCUGUAUGUCCAUCCAGAAUGCUCAGCCUUUCUUUUCGGCAUCGAAGUUGGAACACCCUUGUUAUUAAUUUACUCUCUUCUUAAAUGUUACAAUGUAAUCAAAUAAGCUACACGAAGUGGAGCAAACCGAUUAUUACUAAAACCAACUAUCAAACAGAUGAAAAGAAGCGAUCAUCUAUAAUAAAUGAAGGCGGCGAAAAAGUUGGGUUCGUGAAUACAAGUAAUCUAAGCUAGUGACUCUAGCAGUGAAACCUUAAAACAAAGAGAAGAAGACAAGACUGUGUGUUUUUCAUUCACACCAACGUUCAUAAAAUCACACUUGUAUUUGAUUCUGUGUAAAUAAAAAAGUAGGGAGCCAAUAGCUGAUUAAAAGCCCCUGCUUUUCAAUCAAAACUUUGCAAUCUAGAAUUACCAAAGCAGCUAACCUGUUAUUUAUAGGCAGCAAACCGACUAAAAUGCACCAAAUCCAAAUCCAAGUCCAACUGGGAAACUACAUUUCUAUUUCCCUCUUUUUGAAGGAGAAGCGGAACCUUUUCGACUUAUUUGGUACAACUACAACAUCUAAAGACAAUUUUGGAUGUAAGCCAUGGAACAUAAUUGCGCCUCUGAAAGAGUAAAUCUGACACUGAUAGGUAUUUUGAUUUCAAAUACGAAAAAGCCGGCGAAUUUGAUUGAAAAUCGCCAUGUAACUCAAAAUUCCAAACUUAUAACAGGAAAUGAAGUUACGAAAAUCGAAAGGGAAAAACUUACUUAUUUGAGGGGUGGACAGAUGCGGCAUAUCUGCAACGCCAACCUCUAGCCGCGAAGGGAAAUGGGAAAUGGGGAAAGUCAUCAACGGCUCAUAAGAUCAACUUCUGUGGUUUUUGUUUGGAGGGGUAAAAGGGGAAUUUCAUACGUGUUUGGGUAUGGAUAGAUACCGUCACAUGCUCAUUUGUCCGCCAAACUCAAUCUAUCUCAAACUUGAAAUCCAAGUAGAGAAACAAACAGAUCUCUCCACUUUCAGCUCCUCGAUCGACCGUGCCGUCGCCCUCUGUGACAAGAUCUCAUGUUCUCUGUAGCCCUCUGUGAAUUACGGAAGGCUCUGGAGACCAUGAGAUCUGAUAAGAGGCAUCUUCUGAGUUCCAGUCACCCCAGAAGAAGACUUGGGUCAGGUGUAUCCAAAUUCAUACUUUUUUUGAGUGAGGAACUUUCAUAACAAAUUCUUAAAUAUUUUUAUAGCGUUGAUAAAAAGUCAUUUAUUUAAAUAUUUAGCAAGACUUUUACUCUUAAUAAUCAAUCUUAAAAAUAUUAAAAAGUCAUUUAUUUAAGACUUAAAUGCUAAAAUAGUCCUUGUGUUUUAUCAUGUUGGUCAAUUUAAUCCCUGUGUUUUUAAUUUAGCCAAUAUAGUCCAUUCCGUUAAAAUUGCCAUUAAAUAAACAUAAAUUGUUUUUUUUUUUGUGGGUAGAAAACCUAUAAACUUAUUUGAAAUUAAUUUUAACAUUUUAAUUAAUUAAAAAAUAUAUUGAAACUUCAUUAAAACCAAAACAUAACGUUAGGAAAGAAAAAAAAAACAAGAUGGGUAUAAUCAAGGAGGGGGGAGUGGGGCGACGACCAGAGUGGGCUAGAGGAUCCGAGCGACACGGCUGGAGAUGGGACAAAUUAAUGGUGGCAUUUUAAACCGAAAAACCGAAAAACCGAAAAACCGCAAAAACCAACCGAUAUUUUACCGCAAUAAAACCGCAAUCGCGGUAAAUCGAACCGCAAUCACGGUAUUAAGAACCGAACCGCAUUUGCGGUUGCGGUUGCGGUAUUUUAUUUUCAAAAUUUGCGGUUACCGCAAACCGCAAAGUAUAGCCGCACGGCUAUACUCUAUGAAUAAUUAAGUAAAAUUGUAAAUCCUUCUCUUCUCUCUCUGUAGCCGUGAGAUGAAAACCUAGAAUCUGUUUCUUCUCCUGAUUCCCAUUCGUCUCUCUCUCAACUCUCUCUCAACUCUCUUAUUCCCAUUCGUCUCUCUCUCUCUCUCUCUCUCUCUCUCUCUCUCAACUCUCAAAAUCGGCUUCUCUCUCACAGACCCGAAUCGAACUCAUCUCCUCCUCUCUCUCUCUCUAACUCAAUUCAAGCCCUCCCUCUGUCUCUCUCAAGGAUCGAUCUUUGUGAAAAGCGCCAUUAGAGCUUCGAACCCGAGCGCAGCCGCUGAGUCUUCUUCACCUGGACUCUACUCCGCCAAGAAGUACGAGCUCACUGUUCCUAACGUCGACUUGGUUCUUGAGGACGUCCGCCCCUAUCUCAUCGCUGAUGGCGGUAACGUCGACGUUGUGUCCGUUGAGGACGGCGUCGUUUCACUCAAGCUACAAGGUGGGUUUGGUUGGGUUAUCUCUUUUUUCUGUCUCUGUUUUUCAUUUGAAAUAUGGUUUCUUUUUUCUGUCAGGAAUUUUGGGUUUUGUGAAUUUGAAUGAUUUACUCAUUGUCAACAUAUAAUUUGAUUGUGAAACAGUGGUAAUUAGUUAGAAUCAAUAUUUUGUUUUGCAAUUAGGCAAUUGAAAUUCCAACAGGGGCUUGUGGGAGCUGCCCUAGCUCAACCACCACCAUGAAAAUGGGAAUUGAAAGAGUGCUUAAAGAAAAGUUUGGAGAUGCGCUCAAGGAUAUUUCUUCAUCUAUGACGAUUGAGAGUCACCAGCUGAGGAAUGCAACUUUUAACCGAAAGAAAAGGUUCAAUUAUAGACCUAGUACUUUCUGCAAGAGAUACAUUAACAAGCAAGGGUGCAUGCCUCAAUCGAAUACUGUCACAAUAACCCAACAUUCCCUUAUAAAUAAAUGACACGAGAUUAGGAGCCCAAAUCUCAACUAAUCCUAAAGACGUACACUCACUUAUUUGUAGGAACUUCAACCGGAGUGAUGAACCAGCAACUUUCAAUUUUACUAAUUGAUCUGAGCAAGAAAUGCAGAGAUGCUCAAGGAGUUCACAGUAGGAUAGAAAGUGCUCAACAAGUUCGCCGGUUAUAUUUACAAAGGACAAAGAGAGGUGUUUAAGGGACUUGAUGCAGGAAAUACCAAAAGGGCUUCUAAAUGGCUUAUCUGGAAAGAUAUAACUGGGAGAAGAAAAACGAGACCGUCUGCCUGCUUCCAAAUCUAUCUCAAGGCCUUGAACUCUCCUCCACAUUGCAAAUUCAAUCCAAUUGUCGAUUUCAGAACUACUAGGACUGCAAUUGAGUGAGGAAGAACGAAUUUUGAAUUCAUCUAAGGAUGGACCAUGGUGCA
RNAcentral lists this long non-coding RNA (3853 nucleotides) under Prunus persica (peach). RNAcentral's name for it is "long non-coding RNA (PPER_LNC001535)". Lineage: Eukaryota; Viridiplantae; Streptophyta; Magnoliopsida; Rosales; Rosaceae. The record is from RNAcentral.